GACGAACGCUGGCGGCGUGGAUUAGGCAUGCAAGUCGAACGGUAGGAUACCUUCGGGUAUCUGAGAGUGGCGAACGGGUGAGUAACACGUAGGUGAUCUACCCUCAAGAUUGGGACAACCCAGGGAAACUUGGGCUAAUACCGGAUGAAAGCAGCAGUGAUGUUGUUUGAAAGGUGGCGUAAGCUGCCGUUUGGGGAUGAGCCUGCGCUCUAUUAGUUAGUUGGCGGGGUAAAGGCCCACCAAGGCGACGAUCUGUAGCGGGUCUGAGAGGAUGAUCCGCCACACUGGAACUGAGACACGGUCCAGACUCCUACGGGAGGCAGCAGUGGGGAAUUUUGGACAAUGGGGGCAACCCUGAUCCAGCCAUGCCGCGUGAGUGAAGAAGGCCUUCGGGUUGUAAACGUACUGUCCUAUGGGAAGAAACGAAAUAGACGGUACCAUGGAGGAAGCCCGGCUAACUACGUAGCCAGCAGCCGCGGUAAGCUGUAGUCGU
RNAcentral lists this ribosomal RNA (493 nucleotides) under uncultured bacterium. RNAcentral describes it as "bacterial SSU rRNA". It matches the Rfam family "Bacterial small subunit ribosomal RNA", at positions 28 to 533 of the family's 1533-position model. The record is from RNAcentral.